CAGUUAUGGCUAUGGUGAUCAAAGAUGACCGUCUUAACAAAGACCGGAAGCUAUGAAGCAGAUAACCCAGCUCCUACCAGAGGACCUCAGAAAGGAGCUCUAUGAACUUUGGGAAGUAAGUAUAUAUGGAGUACGAGACCCAAUCUAGUGCAGAAGCCAAAUUUGUGAAGCAGCUAGACCAAUGUGAAAUGAUUCUUCAAGCAUCUGAAUAUGAAGACCUUGAACACAAACCUGGGAGACUGCAAGACUUCUAUGAUUCCACAGCAGGAAAAUUCAAUCACCCUGAGAUAGUCCAGCUUGUUUCUGAACUUGAGGCAGAAAGAAGCACUAACAUAGCUGCAGCUGCCAGUGAGCCACACUCCUGAGACACUCUCUAAAUUGCUGCACUCCUGUAACAAACAUUAUUUUUCCAUUUCAUUGUAUUGUGUUUUGCCAUUGUUGGUCUGUUGAUUUCCCUAGAUGUGAGUCUGUUUGUUUUCAAUUGUCUGAACUUCAGCAAGAAAUGUGAUACAACUUGGGCACUAAAAGAAGCCACAGAACAGGAAGCGGUCAUGAAAGUGCCAUGGAUGAACACUGGAGGUGGCAGUGCCUGUUUAUGAACUAAAUAAAUAAAUAUUAAACAC
This 623-nucleotide long non-coding RNA is filed under the name Homo sapiens (human). RNAcentral's name for it is "HSALNT0112759". Lineage: Eukaryota; Metazoa; Chordata; Mammalia; Primates; Hominidae. The record is from RNAcentral.